Oryctolagus cuniculus (rabbit) is the source of this 1971-nucleotide non-coding RNA. Lineage: Eukaryota; Metazoa; Chordata; Mammalia; Lagomorpha; Leporidae. The record is from RefSeq and is a predicted model, not a curated record.
UGAAAAAGUCACAGUGCGCCAAAGCUGGGUGCUUCUGGAGGGAGACAGGGCUGGUGGAGUGCCAGGUCGCUUGCCACCGCUGUGCUGUCACAACUGCACACUGGUCACUCUGGCUAACAUGCCAUUUCCAUUCAGAAGCCAGCAUCUGCUUCAGUUGUACGUGGCCGCUGUCCAGAGCUGAGUCGGGAGUGGCAGGCUACAGGUGUCUGUCCUGCCUCUCGGUUGCUCAGUUAUGCAUCUCAUCAGCAUUUCCUGUGUCAGUACUUGGUACUGCUUGUGAGGCUGAGAAGUCCACGAUCAAGGUGACAACAGCUUUGGUGUCUGCUGAGGGCCUGAUCCCUGCUGCAGAGGCGGAGUCUUCUUGCUGUGUCCUCCAUGAUGGAAGGCGGUCACUUGUUAGUGAACCUUGGAAAGAUUUGGCAAAUUGACUCGGUGCUUGUCCAAAGACAGACUCAGCAUCAUCUUCCGGAAGCUCUAAGAAAAACAGAAAAGGUGGAAUUGUAUCAGAAUCUGUGAGCACAGUGGCAACAUGUGUGUUAUUCUGCGGUGUGUGCGGCUCUGCUCUGGCUAACUGUUUCUCUAGAAGUGACUGGGAGAUAAUCUUUGCACCUUUGGGGUUAUGGUUUCAGUUGUUCCCUUGCACUAAUGAUCUCUUUUUGCCACUAAAGAAAACCAAAACCAACCAAUGGUAUCUCAGAAAUAUCAGAGUUUUGGUUCAUUUUGAAAAGAUUAUUGAUUUAUUUGAAAAGCAGAAUGAUAGAGAAGGAGAGACACAGAGAGAUCUUCCAUUCGCUGGCUCUCUUCCCAUAGGCAAUAGUCUGGACUGUACCAGGCCAAAGCCAGGAACCGGGAACUCCAUCUGGGACCCCCACCUGGGUAGCAGGAACCCAAACACUUGAGCCAUCAUCUGCUGCCUCCCAGGCACACUACCAGGAAGCUGGAUUGGAAGCAGAGGCAGGACUUGAAACCAGGCCCUCUGAUAUGGGAUGCAGUGACUUGACCCGCUGUGCCAUAGCACCCACCCCAGGGCCUUUCUUUUUACCCAGCUUUGUGUUUUCUUCCUUGCUUUCAUUUUUUUUCAUUUUCAGUGAAAGUGAGACAACUUUUAUAGGAGGUUUUCCUACAGUAAAUUGCCCCUGGGAUAAAAAAUAUUACAAAUAUUUGAGAACAGUGGUUUCAAGAGAAUUUGCUCCAAUUUAGGUAGUAAAAAAGAACAAAUCCCAGUAUGAAACGUGGGAUGAGCUUGUCCUUCUAGUGAUUAACCUGUGGGGAACGGAGGACCUCUGGGAGGGAGUAAGAAGCAAUUCCCAUAACAUGAAAACAGAAUUCUUUUGACAUCGACCCAGUGUGUGAAUCUGUCAAAAGUAAGUCUCAGGGGCCCGGCGCCACAGCGCAGUAGGUUAAUCCUCCUCGCGAGGUGCCAGCAUCCCAUAUGGGCGCCAGUUCUAGUCCUGGCUGCCCUUCUUCCAAUCCAACUCUCUGCUGUGGCCUGGGAAAACAAUGGAGGAUGGCCGAAGUGCUUUGGCUCCUGCACCCGCUUGGGAGACCGGGAGGAAGCUUCUGGCUUCUGGCUCCUGGCUUCAGAUCAGCACAGCUCCAGCCAUUGCAGCCAUCUGGGGAGCGAACCAGUAGAGGGAGGACCUUUCUCUCUGUCUCUCCUUCUUACUGUGUGUAACUCUGCUUUUCAAGUAAAUAAAUAAAAUAAAAUAAAAAUAAGUGUUGGGGCCAGUGUUGUGGCACAGAGGGUAAAGCUGCCUCCUGGGACCCCAGCAUCCCAUGUGGGUACCAGUUUGCAUCCCAGACGCUCAAUUUCCUAACCAGCUCCCUACUAAUGGCCUGGGAAAAGCAGCAGAAGAUGGCUCAAGUGCCUUGGCCCAUGCCACUCAUGUGGGAGACCCAGAAGAAGCUUCUGGCUCCUGGGUUUGGCCUGGCCGAGCUCUAGCUGUUACAGCCAUUUGGGGGAGUGAACCA